GUCCGUGUGGCUCAAUGGCAGAGCGCUUCGUUGGUAACGAAGCGGCUGCCCCGGCUCGCUGAGCUCGCCGGACUGCGCUCGGCACGGACAGCACGCAGGUGCUGUCCUAUCGGCCUUCGGCCGAUGCCGUGCUCGGGUUCGAUUCCACCCAUGGGCACCA
This 160-nucleotide transfer RNA is filed under the name Planctomycetota bacterium. RNAcentral describes it as "Planctomycetes bacterium (soil metagenome) tRNA-Thr". The stretch from base 1 to 90 matches the Rfam family "tRNA". Rfam says of the family: Transfer RNA (tRNA) molecules are approximately 80 nucleotides in length. Their secondary structure includes four short double-helical elements and three loops (D, anti-codon, and T loops). Lineage: Bacteria; Pseudomonadati; Planctomycetota. The record is from RNAcentral.